RNAcentral lists this transfer RNA (64 nucleotides) under Phymata americana. RNAcentral's name for it is "tRNA-Thr". The record is from RNAcentral. Lineage: Eukaryota; Metazoa; Arthropoda; Insecta; Hemiptera; Phymatidae.
GUUUUAAUAGUUUAAAUAAAAACAAUGAUUUUGUAAAUCAUAAAUAGAAAAUAUCUUUAAAACU